This 253-nucleotide ribosomal RNA is filed under the name uncultured bacterium. RNAcentral describes it as "partial 16S ribosomal RNA". It matches the Rfam family "Bacterial small subunit ribosomal RNA", at positions 524 to 776 of the family's 1533-position model. The record is from RNAcentral.
UACGUAGGGUGCAAGCGUUGUCCGGAAUCAUUGGGCGUAAAGCGCGCGUAGGCGGCCCGAUAAGUCCGCUGUAAAAGUCAACGGCUCAACUGUUGAAAGCCGGUGGAUACUGUCGGGCUAGAGUACGGAAGAGGCAAGUGGAAUUCCUGGUGCAGCGGUGGAAUGCGCAGAUAUCAGGAGGAACACCUAUAGCGAAGGCAGCUUGCUGGGACGUUACUGACGCUAAGGCGCGAAAGCGUGGGGAGCGAACAGG